Long non-coding RNA from Mus musculus (house mouse), 5566 nucleotides. RefSeq annotates it as predicted gene, 52601. The transcript is spliced from 2 exons. NCBI's taxonomy places the organism in Eukaryota, Metazoa, Chordata, Mammalia, Rodentia, Muridae. The record is from RefSeq and is a predicted model, not a curated record.
CGGCGCCACGUCCGCACGCCGGGCCGAGCGUGGGGAGGGGCUAAGCCCGGGACGCUGGGAGGAGCCGGCGUGGUGGGGCGGGAGCCCGUCGGUGUUGGGGGCUCACACUGAGUGGAGGGAUAUGAUGGAGACAUCCCUGUUAGGACAGGAUGUUCCACCUCUGAAUACUGUCUGGCUGAGGGCGUCUGUAUGAGUUCCCAACUGCUGCAGGAGGAAGCUUCUCUGAUGAUGACUGAGCAAGACACUGAUCUAUGAGCAUACAGAAUCGUAUUAAGAAUAAUUUUAUUGGUACAUUGUUUUUCUUUUUUAAGAACAGUAGUAUUUGGAUUUACCCGAGGUCCCUCAAGCAGUGUUCGGAAUGGGUUUCAUAAGUCAAACCAGAUAUUGGUUGGUUACUCCACAAGCUUUGUAAUACCAGCAUAUCUUGCAGACAGGACACCAUUUUAGAUCAAAGGGUUUGUGGCUGGGUUGGUGUUUAUAUUUCUCUUUUAGAAGCCUGUAGACUAACUUUAAAACAUAAGGGUGAAGACUUUAUUUAGGCACCGGCCACGUUCAGUGUUCUCCAUGUUCAAUAAGUAGGUGUUGUCUUCAGCAGUGGGCCUUGCUGUCAGUUUGUGGAGAGCAGCCUACAGUUUUGGCAACAGCUUCAGUUGCUUGAGGCUUCUCGUGGAUCCCUUUGGCUAGCAGCUCAGUCAGAUGUAACACAAUCCUGUGACUGGAAGCUUCAUUUUGUGACAAGAGAUGGCCACAUGGGACUCUUGUCUCCCUCAUUAUUUGUCAACUUCAAUUAGGUCACCUUUUCAUAUAUGUGUAUGUUUUAGAAAGCUUCUGCUGUAUUAGGGUCUGUUCCACAUCCUUCAAUCUAUGGCUGUUUCUUCUAUUCCCUUUCCUGGGUAGAUCUGUCUGUCCCCUCUAGUCCCUUAAUCUAUACCUAGCCUACCUAACAUCUGUGUUCUGCAGAUUGUUGCUAGGUUAUCAUCGACUCCCAUAUCAGUGAAUAUAUACCAAAUUUCUCUCUCUGGCUCUGGGACGCCUCACCAAGAUGAUUUUUCUAGUUCCAUCCAUUUACCUGGAGGGUUUUUUUUUUUUUUCUUAAGCUGAGACGUGCUCUAUUGUGUAAAUAUACCACAUUUUCUUUAUCUAGUCUUGUGCUGAGGGAUGUCUAGGUUGCUGCCGAUUUCUGGCUAUCAUGAGUAGCAAUGAACAUGGCUGAGCAAGUGCCCUUAUGUAAUGUAUAUGCCUAAGAGCGGCAUAGCUGGAUCUUGAUGGGUUCCCAUUUCCCGAGCUACUGCCACAAUAUGAUUUCCGCAUUGGCUCACAGGUUAGCACAGUAGGAAUUCCUAGUUCUUCCCUCAGCAGUAGGAUGCUGAGAAGCUUCAGUUCCUUAUGCUUUGGGGGUAACUUUCCUCCUGUGGCCCUGUUGUGGGGACUCGGUGCUCUUUGGCUCAGGAGCCGCCUCUCCCAUCUUCAAAGCUGCCAGUGACAACUGUCUUCUUACUCAGUACCUCAUGAUGACCUUGCAUCUGCUCCUUUUUUAUCUUGAGUUCUGUUGGGAUUAGUUAGGACCGUCAGGUAAACCAGAGUACUCUCCCUGUUCUAAGGGCAGCUUAGUGGACAUCUUACCCAUAGCUGUGGGUUUCACAUAGUAGUGGUUAGUCUAAUGAAGGGAAGCUCUCAGAUAUGAAACAGUGGCCGUGAUUCCUUUUCCUUCUGAAGACCGUUCUGAUCAGAGUGUUCUGUUUUCUGCAAGUCCCAGGACACUUUAUUUGCUCUGCCCAGUUCACACUGCAUGGAGUCUCUAACACAGCUUAGCAAACAUCAUUCUGCUACCCAGCGAGUAGAUGCAUUUGGCUGUGAAAUAUAGCUUACCAAUUCCUUUUUUUUUUUUUUAAAGAUUUAUGUCUUUUAUUAUAUGUGAGUACACUGUAGCUAUCUUCAGACACACCAAAAGAGGGCAUCCGGUCUCAUUAUAGAUGGUUGUGAGCCACCAUGUGGUUGCUGGGAUUUGAACUCAAGGCCAUUGGAAGAGCAGUCAGUUCUCUUAAGCACCGAGCCAUCUCUCCAGCCCCCAGUUCCUUGUUAAUAAUUCUUGGGAAUCUUGGUUUAGUUGGAAUAAAUGCUUGAGGAGGAGAGCGUAAGGAGGCUGGGUUGCAAUCUCCGCUGUACAGGUUAGGUUCUCUGCUUUGCAGGGUCUCUGCAGCUUUGCAGCAUCUAGACUGAGGCACUCAGUUGAGAUAUUCUAGUGCUGGGCUCCAUGACAAGACACAGCGAGGUGGCUUUUCAGGAAUGCUUUUGGAAUUACUGUCCUCAUUAAAUGGGUUAUCAAUGCUUUGUGGUGAGACGCUGUUCUAACCAUGGGGUUUAUCAGGUAUCAAAUGCAUGCGCCCGUUGAGGUUGUGGGUAAUAGCGACUGUAGAGGUGGAGGCAGAGCUAUGGGACAGCACCAUCGUAAAGCUGCAGGAAACAGUCCCCUAGGCUAUACCACAGCCUUGUGUGUGCCGCACUCCUGCUCUACCUCUCAUGUGUCAUUAUGACUUGCCUGGGCUUGUGUUAUAAUAAGAUAAAAAGUGUCAUUUGAGGGUGGGAGGGCAUUGGUUGCUAAGCCUGCUGACCUGGAGAGAAUUGAUUCCUGCAAACUGCUCUUUGACCUCCCCAUAUCCCUUGUGGCAUGCCCCUUCCCAACCCCCCAAAUAAGUCUGUCUAAGCUAUGACUAAGGGCUGAAGUGUACAAUUCAGUGAGACAAUAAAAUCAAGCUUUUCACUGGAGAAAUAGAAAACCCAAAACAACAAAAGAUACUGUGCACGUGUCUAAUCCUAACUUACAGGCACUGGUCAUUUCUAAUAUGGUAGUUUGUGCCACAUUAGUACUCUUUAGGAUAAAGGUUUUCAUGGCCUUAACCCCAAUCUAAUGAGCUUUUAGGUGGGCAAAGGUCUUUUUUUCUCUUGUUCUGGUUUGUUCUCACUAUGUGAGCACUUUGUGUGGCUCAUGAUGGGUCCUCGGUAAAUGUUUGCUGUCUGUUUACUUAUUUUCCUCCUUGCUCUGACCAAGUACCUGACAACAAACAGCUUAAGGGAGAAAGGAUUGUUUUCUGUUCAUGGUUUGAGGGCAUAGCCCAAUUGGCAGAGAAGGCUCUGCUGGGCAUCAGGAACCGGAAGCAGCUGGUUACAUGUGCCUGGAGCCAGAAAGCAGAGGGAGAUGAGUGAUAUUCGCAGCUCUCCUUCUCAUUUUCCAUUUUUCUGAAUGGACCUGUGGGGUAGUGCCGCCCACAUUCAGGGUGAGCUUUCUCCUUUGCGUCUGGAAACACCCUCACAUACAGGAGAUGUGUCUCUUCCAUGAUUCUACUGUCUAGUUGGGCUGACAAUGGAGACUAAGUAUCAGGUUUACCAAGUGGAUGUACGGAUAAGUAGUACACAGUCACACAGGGACUUGAGUUGUUACUGCUUGUGACAACUCACAAGCCGUUACACACAUAGGAUAGGUUGGGCUCUUAGUUAAAUGUGCUUGUCCAUCAUAGUAAUUGAGCAGAAAUGAUGUUAGAAUAGCUAGGAAGCUCAAAAUACCCCGCGAGCUUUAAGUUUAGUAUUUGCUGGAAGUUUUGCUGCGUUCCUUUCUUAACAUUUGUGGUGAGGCACAGAAGCAGUUGUUAGGGAUUGCUAGGGAUUUAGUUUGUGAGCAAAAUCUCACAUCACUUUUUAGAGUUGGGUUUAAUUAAUUGAAAAAUACCCUGAAAUUAGAAGAUGAAGAAGUACUGUGUGAUCAGGACUUUUAAAAAAGUUUAUUUACAAAGUAUAAAAGUAACAUUGACUUAAAAAGCACAGGAAGGUAUCAUUCCCAAGGAUUAUAUAUAUAUAUAUAAUACAUAAUAUAAUACAUAUAAUUAUACAUAUAUAUAUAUAUAUAUAAACCACAACAUAUAUAUCAUUAAAAACACAGUUGGCUUGUGUUGUAGAUAGAUACAGUUUGCAGUUACAUCCCUGCAAAACACUAUACUUCUUGGAUUCACAAAGUCUUGGCCUAAAUUCUUGGUUUUGUUUUGUUUACUAGGUAUAUUUAAAAUUUUAAAAAGUUUUCAUGUGCAUGUUUGCACGUUUGCAUGCUCAGGAGAGCAGAUGAUUCUCUGGACUGGAGUGUAGAUGAUUGUGUGCCGCUUUGUGGGUGCUAGGAAUUGAACCCAGUGUUCUUAACUACUGAGCCAUCUUUCUAGCUGUAUUUUUUGAAAAACUACUACAUAUCUGUUUUCUCCUUUUCCUUUUAUUAUAAAAGAAAGCUGAGCCAUGAGACUAUUGCAGGGUUAAACAAUUCAUUAUUUAAAGCACUUGAAAGUAGCCCUUGCCAGUAAACAUAACGUAGUUUAGUUGUUACUACUGAAAAUUGCUAUAUUUACCUAAGUGUAAUUUUGAGUCUUUCCUUAUUGCCUCAUAUGUUCACUGUAUACACAGUAUUAACAAUUCUGCUAAUAUUUUAUAUUAUGGUUAUAUAUAUAUUUAUAACUUACUUAAAUAGAAAAGGCCUGCCUUGCAAAUGCUCAGGUUGAUAAUGCUACGGUGGGCGUUUGUAACUUUGUGCUUAUGAAAGCAAAUGUAGAGGGUGUCCACUGGGAGAAAGCCUCACACAGCUCACCUCUGACAGGUCUACUGUGCCUGUCCAGAUGACCUCCCAGGGACUGUGCUGUGACGUCCGUCUUCUUACCACCUCACCCCGUUUUCAUCAUGUGUGUAUUUGCUCUUACUGGUCUGCAUUGCUGGGGGUGGAACUCAGGGCCUAACACAUGCCUGUGCAAGUGCCUGCUGCUGAACUCUAGUUUCUUGAUGUCAGGUGACUAAACCAACCUUCAGGAAUUGGGAACUGGGAUUGAUAUUCCUCAUCCCUGAUAUUAAGUCAAAGUUGCUGAUGUUUGUAUAUUUUACUUGAUAAAUAAGCUAUAAGAUAUACUUGUAGUCACAAAAAUUACACUUCUAGCAUGCAUAUUGGGGUUUAGGUAAGAGUUCAUUAGUAAGAUGGUUUAUGCUUGAUUUCCUCUGAAGAUGAACAUUGCUGUUUCCUAAAUGAAGCUCUUUCCCCUGAGAUGGGUUUCCCAUGAUUCACUGAGGGACUCACUCGUCUACCCUUAGUGAGCCUACCAACUGUAUGAAACACCUUUGAACGGUCUGGGCUUUGCUUCACCACUGUCUUAUAGUACGCUGACCAUUCUGUAGUUUCAUGAAGUCAUUUCUGAGCCCAUUUUGUCUUUGUAGUUACAACUCUUGGAAAAAGCAAGGUUAGGAUUAUUGCAUGAAUCCAUACAUGUGUGUAAGAAUAUAUGUUGACUUAAAUUGUAAUAAAACUUAGUUUGAUGGUUGAGUAAUUAUGCAAAAAAUAGCAACUCAGAUGCCUAUUUUUGGAUUUGAAAAUAUGUAUAUGUAGUAAUGAAAUUUCAAGUGAUACACACUAACUUUUUUUUUUUAGCAUAUAUUACAUUAGUCUUAAAAAUAAUGGGUUUCCCUGUUGGAUUUUCAUAUAUGCUAAGAAGUCAGAAUUGAUCCACAUAAUUUUUUUGUCCUAAUUUUGUGGGUGUUACUAUAUAAA